Molecule: ribosomal RNA, 406 nt
Filed under: uncultured bacterium
Lineage: Bacteria
Description: partial 16S ribosomal RNA
Rfam family: Bacterial small subunit ribosomal RNA
Source: RNAcentral
AUUGAACGCUGGCGGCCGGCCUAACACAUGCAAGUCGAACGAGUGGCGGCCGGGUGAGUAAUGUCUGGGAAACGGCCUGAUUGCGGGGGAUAGCUACUGGGAACGGUAGCUAAUCCCGCAUACCAUCAGCUGUGCCCCGAUGUGUUUAGCUAGUUGGUCGGGUAACGGCUCACCAAGGCGACGAUCCCUAGCUGGUCUGAGAGGAUGACCGGCCCCACUGGAGCUUGGACAUGGGCCACACGCCGACGGUCUUCAUCAGUGGUAGAUAGUGCACCAUGGGCGCAAGCCUUGUGCAGCAAUGCGGCGUGUAUGAAGAACUCCUUCGGUUUGUAGAGUACUUUCAGCGGGGAGGCGUUACACGCAGAAGAAGCACAGGCUAACGCGGUGCCAGCAGCCGCGGUAAUAC